CUUUGUUAAUCUACCUGAAACUGUAGGGACAGUUUGUUUCUACUCAACUAUACAGACCAUUGUUGAGGAGAUGCAAAACAUACUGUACAUGAGUUGGGUCCAACAUAUACCUUGAGUAAUGUUACUUUGCUGCUAAAAAUGAAACAUCAUUAUCAGAUGAGGACAUCACCAAAGUGUGUGAGCCUGUCAGGGGAUUUGAUCUGUUCUCUGCAUGUCCUAAACACUGCUCUGGUAUUACUUAUCUUGUAACAUGUAAGUCUCCCGCUCUUGUCAUCUUUCAGGCUUUGCAUUUGAACUCCUAUGACUGGUUGCGGACUUGAAGGGAACGCCUUCCUGACAUCCAGGAAAAAGGUGAGAUUAUAAUACAUUUGAAUGCCAAAAGCAAGUUAUUGUUUUUAACUUUUGAAAUAUGAUUGUUUUGGGGCAUUUCAGUUGUAUUGGACAGGCAGUAGAGAUCUACUGGAAACAGUGGAGAGGGAGCAGAUGAUAUGCAGCAUACGGCCCAGCCGGAUGGUUGCUGCUCCGUGUGGAACGUGUCCUAUCAGGUGUAACAUCUACCAAUGGUUGUACAUGACAGAGACCUCCUCCGCCUCUUUGCUGUCUUACUAGUCAAUCCUUCUGAUCAGGUCCUUUCCUAAAUAGUGAAAGGAUCAUGCCAGCCCACAUCAAACACCUGAUCAAGAGCUUGUGAACCUCACUGCUGCAGACACCUGUGUGAUAUUCCACUCUGACUGGAACCCUCAAAAUGACCUGCAGGCUCAAGCUCGGUUCGUCAUCGUUUUGGCCAGUCUAAGGCGGUGGAGGUGUACUGUCUGAUCACUAGAAACUAUGAGAGGGAAAUGC
Gymnodraco acuticeps is the source of this 843-nucleotide long non-coding RNA. RefSeq lists it as uncharacterized. The transcript has 4 exons. NCBI's taxonomy places the organism in Eukaryota, Metazoa, Chordata, Actinopteri, Perciformes, Bathydraconidae. The record is from RefSeq and is a predicted model, not a curated record.